AGCGUACACGGUGGAUGCCCUGGCAGUCAGAGGCGAUGAAGGACGUGCUAAUCUGCGAAAAGCGCCGGCGAGGUGAUAUGAACCUUUGACCCGGCGAUGUCCGAAUGGGGAAACCCAGUGCAAUUCGUUGCACUAUCGUUAACUGAAUACAUAGGUUAACGAGGCGAACCGGGGGAACUGAAACAUCUAAGUACCCCGAGGAAAAGAAAUCAACCGAGAUUCCCCCAGUAGCGGCGAGCGAACGGGGAGCAGCCCAGAGUCUGAAUCAGCUUGUGUGUUAGUGGAAGCGUCUGGAAAGUCGCACGGUACAGGGUGACAGUCCCGUACACGAAAGCACACAGGUUGUGAACUCGAAGAGUAGGGCGGGACACGUGGUAUCCUGUCUGAAUAUGGGGGGACCAUCCUCCAAGGCUAAAUACUCCUGACUGACCGAUAGUGAACCAGUACCGUGAGGGAAAGGCGAAAAGAACCCCGGCGAGGGGAGUGAAAAAGAACCUGAAACCGUGUACGUACAAGCAGUGGGAGCACCUUCGUGGUGUGACUGCGUACCUUUUGUAUAAUGGGUCAGCGACUUAUAUUCUGUAGCAAGGUUAACCGUAUAGGGGAGCCGAAGGGAAACCGAGUCUUAACUGGGCGUUAAGUUGCAGGGUAUAGACCCGAAACCCGGUGAUCUAGCCAUGGGCAGGUUGAAGGUUGGGUAACACUAACUGGAGGACCGAACCGACUAAUGUUGAAAAAUUAGCGGAUGACUUGUGGCUGGGGGUGAAAGGCCAAUCAAACCGGGAGAUAGCUGGUUCUCCCCGAAAGCUAUUUAGGUAGCGCCUCGUGAACUCAUCUUCGGGGGUAGAGCACUGUUUCGGCUAGGGGGCCAUCCCGGCUUACCAACCCGAUGCAAACUACGAAUACCGAAGAAUGUUAUCACGGGAGACACACGGCGGGUGCUAACGUCCGUCGUGAAGAGGGAAACAACCCAGACCGCCAGCUAAGGUCCCAAAGUCAUGGUUAAGUGGGAAACGAUGUGGGAAGGCACAGACAGCCAGGAUGUUGGCUUAGAAGCAGCCAUCAUUUAAAGAAAGCGUAAUAGCUCACUGGUCGAGUCGGCCUGCGCGGAAGAUGUAACGGGGCUAAACCAUGCACCGAAGCUGCGGCAGCGACGCUUAUGCGUUGUUGGGUAGGGGAGCGUUCUGUAAGCCGUUGAAGGUGUGCUGUGAGGCAUGCUGGAGGUAUCAGAAGUGCGAAUGCUGACAUAAGUAACGAUAAAGCGGGUGAAAAGCCCGCUCGCCGGAAGACCAAGGGUUCCUGUCCAACGUUAAUCGGGGCAGGGUGAGUCGACCCCUAAGGCGAGGCCGAAAGGCGUAGUCGAUGGGAAACAGGUUAAUAUUCCUGUACUUGGUGUUACUGCGAAGGGGGGACGGAGAAGGCUAUGUUAGCCGGGCGACGGUUGUCCCGGUUUAAGCAUGUAGGCGGAGGUUCCAGGUAAAUCCGGUACCUUUUUAACGCUGAGGUGUGAUGACGAGGCACUACGGUGCUGAAGUAACAAAUGCCCUGCUUCCAGGAAAAGCCUCUAAGCAUCAGGUAACAUCAAAUCGUACCCCAAACCGACACAGGUGGUCAGGUAGAGAAUACCAAGGCGCUUGAGAGAACUCGGGUGAAGGAACUAGGCAAAAUGGUGCCGUAACUUCGGGAGAAGGCACGCUGAUAUGUAGGUGAAGCCCCUGCGGGUGGAGCUGAAAUCAGUCGAAGAUACCAGCUGGCUGCAACUGUUUAUUAAAAACACAGCACUGUGCAAACACGAAAGUGGACGUAUACGGUGUGACGCCUGCCCGGUGCCGGAAGGUUAAUUGAUGGGGUUAGCGGCAACGCGAAGCUCUUGAUCGAAGCCCCGGUAAACGGCGGCCGUAACUAUAACGGUCCUAAGGUAGCGAAAUUCCUUGUCGGGUAAGUUCCGACCUGCACGAAUGGCGUAAUGAUGGCCAGGCUGUCUCCACCCGAGACUCAGUGAAAUUGAACUCGCUGUGAAGAUGCAGUGUACCCGCGGCAAGACGGAAAGACCCCGUGAACCUUUACUAUAGCUUGACACUGAACACUGGUCCUUGAUGUGUAGGAUAGGUGGGAGGCUUUGAAGCGUGGACGCCAGUCUGCGUGGAGCCAACCUUGAAAUACCACCCUUUAAUGGCUGGUGUUCUAACGUAGACCCGUGAUCCGGGUUGCGGACAGUGUCUGGUGGGUAGUUUGACUGGGGCGGUCUCCUCCCAAAGAGUAACGGAGGAGCACGAAGGUUAGCUAAUCCUGGUCGGACAUCAGGAGGUUAGUGCAAUGGCAUAAGCUAGCUUGACUGCGAGAGUGACGGCUCGAGCAGGUGCGAAAGCAGGUCAUAGUGAUCCGGUGGUUCUGAAUGGAAGGGCCAUCGCUCAACGGAUAAAAGGUACUCCGGGGAUAACAGGCUGAUACCGCCCAAGAGUUCAUAUCGACGGCGGUGUUUGGCACCUCGAUGUCGGCUCAUCACAUCCUGGGGCUGAAGUAGGUCCCAAGGGUAUGGCUGUUCGCCAUUUAAAGUGGUACGCGAGCUGGGUUUAGAACGUCGUGAGACAGUUCGGUCCCUAUCUGCCGUGGGCGCUGGAGAAUUGAGGGGGGCUGCUCCUAGUACGAGAGGACCGGAGUGGACGCAUCACUGGUGUUCGGGUUGUCAUGCCAAUGGCACUGCCCGGUAGCUAAAUGCGGAAAAGAUAAGUGCUGAAAGCAUCUAAGCACGAAACUUGCCCCGAGAUGAGUUCU
RNAcentral lists this ribosomal RNA (2775 nucleotides) under Enterobacter asburiae. Its description in RNAcentral is "bacterial LSU rRNA". It matches the Rfam family "Bacterial large subunit ribosomal RNA". Lineage: Bacteria; Pseudomonadati; Pseudomonadota; Gammaproteobacteria; Enterobacterales; Enterobacteriaceae. The record is from RNAcentral.